UCUCUUCACACCUGCCUUUGUUUCUUCUUCCAUGUACUUCUCUCAAUCUUUCUAGUUGUUUCUUUGGUUUAUCUAGCACACCAAUCUAUAUCAUUAACAAUUGAUUUUAAUGAGUUUGGCUUGUUCUUCUAUAUUCCCUCUACAUCUCUCUUAUGUUAUCUUUGCAAUGAAUUCUAUUAUCUCCUUUAUAUUUUCCAGCCUAAUCCCAUUUCUGCAACAAGGUAGUUUUUGUUUUGGCAAGGGAGUUUAUAAACACAACUCCUAUUUUCCUCCUUAGAUCUUCCUAAGACUUGUAUAUUUGGUCCAUGAACAAAUCUUUAGUUUCUUAUUCGUGGAGAGAAUAAUUACUAUGGGAAGGAACACUGAAGAACAGAUUGUUCCGCAUGCAGGAUCAAAGGCUAUGAAGGAAAGUAAUCGUAACAAGUCCCUCUUUGCUUCUAUACACAAACCACCUAUAGAUAAUGGCAGAUCAAUCAGUAUGGUUGUUAAGGUAAAAUUCAUAUUCUUUUCUCCUGUUACAAAAGAUUUAAAAGUACCUAAUAUGCUAUAUCAACAGUCCGCGAUCUUGACCUUAGAUGGUCAGGCCCAAUCACACCAACAGAAAUGCAAUAUGUUGAACAGUAUGUCCUAGCAAAAUAUCCACAAAAUGCUGGGUUCGUUGGAGGAGAAAAGAUAGACCUCUCCAGUCUUUGCAUCAAUGGAGAGCCCGUAGAGCCCGCGCUUGAUGAUAGGCGAAAGUCCCCAAGGGGUAGUAUCAGAGACCCUUCCAUACCCUCCUUUGGAAGCAAUCAUCCUGACUUGGAUAGGACCCAGUAGGAGCAUUCAAGGUUGCUUGACAUUCUCACCAAGAAAUCUACCUUUCCUGGAAGUUUUAUCUCAAUCCCUGAAAUCCGAGCUGGAAACAAGGUUUUAAAGCACUGUGGAUUGACUGAUGAUGAGUACCUUGUUCUCUUCACUCCAAGCUACCAGGAUGCCAUGAAAUUAGUUGGGGAAAGCUACCCUUUCUUCAAGGGAAACUUCUACCUGACCAUUAUUCGUGAAGAAGAAAACUGCAUCAGAGAGUAUGCUACUUUCAAGGAAUCCAAAUUGAUAGUAGCACCAGAGGAUUGGCUGGAUUUGAGGAUCAAGGGAUCAAUGCUUAGCCAAUACUUUAGGAGGAAGUGUAAGCACAGCCCAAAGGGGUUAUUCUCUUAUCCGGUCAAAGUAAAGGGACUCGUUAUUCAAUGCAUUGGGUUUCAGAAGCUCAUAGGAACUUCUGGCAUGUUCUGCUUGAUGCAACUGCACUGGUUGUUGGGGAGGAUGUGUUGAAUCUUGCACUUCAUCAGCCAGACUUUGUGUUGUGUAGUGUUGAUAAUACACAUGCAAGUCCUUCAAGGAUCACUUGCCUCUUGGUCAGGAAGAAAACCUUUGACAGUACAACAGCUCCAUCUCAGUCCAAUGAGUGAGGAAAAAAAAGUACUUCACUACUAUCAGGGCGUCAGAUCCGACCAAUGAAUUAAUGGUUUUUGAUUGACAAUGUGUUGUAGAAUAUGUUCAAAUGAUCUAGCAAUAAGAAUACAUUUUAGCUACUUGGACAUUAAAAUUUCCUCGGGUACAAUCUGUAGAUAAAUAACAUUAAUAUAAGAGUGUAUUACAUAUAGAUAAUGAUUAAGGAUCAUUACUGAUGUUGAUCACUCAAAAAGGUAAUCCUGGACUCCCAAUCCCAAUGGGUGCUUUCCUUUAGAUAGGAUAUUAUUUUCAGAUAACAAGUUCAGACAGUUUCUAGCAAUUGAGGUAUUAUGAUUAUCCAUCUUCUACUUAGGAAAACUUUCAUAUGAGCUUGAACAAAUGCAUGAUUUUUGUCAUAGAAAGUCCCACUACAAGAAAAAAAAAUCCAUUUAUACUCUUGAAGUCCCUAGUAUUACUUAUAAACCACACAGUUAAUUGCGAUUCUCCUUAUGCUAGAUUUAUGAUCUGAUAAUGAGGCUGGGAGAGGAAAUGCUAGAUUUGUUUUAUGUGACAGAAAGAUAAUAUGAACCCUCUACAUGAAAAACAACAUCAAUUGUACUCUUUUUUUUUUAAUAGAAAGAAGAGAAGCAUACAAACUAUUCCUAUGGUACACAGGAUGUGUAGUAAAGGAAACAGAACAUUAAGCAAAAAGAACACAAAUCUAAAAAUUCCGAAAAUGAGGAGAUAAAAAGACCACUCAUUGCAGUCAUCCAAUCAAGCAGAGUAAGCAAGAAAAAACUGUUUCAGUUCAAUGAUGGAAUGUUCCUCCCCCUUGACAGUUCUAAGAUUCCAUUCUUGCCAAAUAGUACACAUGAUGCAUUGUGGAAUUUCUCCCCAAAUUAUAUGCAUAAGAGCAGUGAAGGAGCGAGUGAUCCGCCGAUUCCCAACUGUUUUUGCACAUCCUCCUUAAAUUAUCCAAAGUGAGAAUCUUUCCCCAAGCGGCUGUCCAAGUAAAAAAAGCCACUCUAGAAGGAACUUUCACCCUCCAAAUACUUUUCCAAGUGAAGGCAUGACUUCUUCCGGUCGUUGGGGCCCUAUAAUAGGUCCCUAAUACUACUUAUCAACAACAUAGUUAAUUGGAGCUUGUCUGUGGACUACAUUUAAGGUCUAGUUUUGUAAAUGGGGGAGAAAUUUAGUUUACUCCUGCCAUGUAACCUGACAGAUAGAGUCAAACCUACUACUAGGAACCAUUUUACUCUCAAAAGUCCCUAAUACUAAUUAUUUUAGGAGUGGAUUCAUAUUAAUUCCUAUAGUUUAAAGUUUUCAAAAUAACCCUGAAGUUUAACAUUGUUACAAAUUAAGCCAUAUAGUUCUAUUAGUUUCAACCAAACUCAACUUUUAAACUGUAUCAAUUUAAACCCUAAAUCAAACUUGAAAAAUCAAUAUGCAAAUCAAAUCCAAAAAAGUUAAAGAGUUUAAAUUGAUAUGAUUUUAAAAGUUCAGUGUUUAAUUAGAAACUAGCAAAACUUUAAGAUUUAACUUGCAACAAUAUGAGACUUUGAGGUUUAAUUUAAAUCUUUUGAAACUACCCAUAGAAAAUAGUCAUUAAAGUAUAGUUUACCCGAACAUAUGGCCAUGCUUGUUUUUAUUGUUGUAUCAAGUAAGGAAACAAAAUGAUGUUUUCUAAUAUGCUUUCCAUGUAUUAAAGAGAAGUACACGAGCAACAUAUUGAAGGAGAUUAGCUUAUACCACUUUACUAGCAUAUUAGUUUCAAUCCUACAUUGAAUAUUUCCCAUUACUUGUAAUCCUACGUAGGUAUUGGGUUAAUGGAAAAAAAGGGACAAUGAAAUGUACGAAACACUCAUAGAAAGCACAUGUACAAAGGCACUCUUUUUUUU
Long non-coding RNA from Quercus lobata, 3326 nucleotides. RefSeq lists it as uncharacterized. Lineage: Eukaryota; Viridiplantae; Streptophyta; Magnoliopsida; Fagales; Fagaceae. The transcript is spliced from 2 exons. The record is from RefSeq and is a predicted model, not a curated record.